This 45-nucleotide non-coding RNA is filed under the name Schistosoma mansoni. Lineage: Eukaryota; Metazoa; Platyhelminthes; Trematoda; Strigeidida; Schistosomatidae. The record is from RNAcentral.
AUGUAGCUGAUGAGUCCCAAAUAAGACAAAACGUGCGUCCUGGAU